UUGUCUUGCGCUUUAUAUCGCCUGUCUCCCGAGAAGUCACGUGGUUGAGAGAAACUCUCUUCGACCUCGAGGAACUUGGUUCGAGACCCGGCACCGAGAGAAGAGAAGAAGAGGGAAAGAAGAAAAACAUGAGGUAUUUCAAAAUACCUCUCUUUUGUUGCUGCUCUUUUUUUUGUUCCUGCUACACUUCUCCUUCUCGUUGAUAGUGAAUCAAACUUGGGGCCAACCCUCCUACUCCAAGGGACUGUUGGUGAUAAACUGUUUGUGCUUGGAGGUGCAGAUGGGAAAAAUCUGCUCAAGGAUUUGUAUAUACCAGACACCAGUUCACCCACAUGUUUUUACAACACAUAGGAGACAAUCACCCACAGAUUUGUUCACGGCGUUGGAGGAGUUAAAAAGACAGAGUCCAAUCUUGUCGUCGAGUCGGCUGAGUGUAGGAUGUUGGAUUAAUUGUUGAAUUAAUGAAUUAUGGAUUGACGACAAUCAAUUAUUAUAAGUUAAUCUUAAUAUAAAUUAUGGUCUAUUGUGUUGAGCACUAAUUAGCUAGUGAAUAUGUGUGAUUGAGCUAUUGUUUCUAAAUGGACCGUGAUGAAUUGACUCAUUUAGCUAAGCUCAAUGAGAGGUCCUUGCCCUCAGCCGUUUAGCUAUUUAAACAUCAUUCCAUCAGACAAUUAAGCAUUAUGAACAGUAUGGUGAAAACCUAGAUAACGGUGGUGAGGGUAGUCAUCCCUCUCAUACUUGUUGGUGGUUGUCUUUCAUGAACUUAAACCUAAAGGAACACAAUUUCUUAUUCCUGCUUUGUUACUAAUGAUAUGCUAUAAUUUGUAUCUAGUGAUUAUGACAAAGCAGGAAAAAGAAAUUGUGUACUGUAGGUUUAGGUUCAUGGAGGACGACCGCCAACAAGUAUGGAGGACUACCCUCAUCUCCGUUUAGGUUAUCUAGGUUUUUACCAUACUGUUUAGAAUGCUUAACCGUCUGAUGGGAUGACGUUUAAAUAGCUAAACCGCUAAGGGCGGGGACCAACCUAUCACGUUCCAUUUAGAAACAAUAGCCCAAUCACACAUAUUCAUCAACUAAUUAGUGUUUAACACAAUAGACCAUAAUUUAUAUUGAGAUUAACUUAUAAUAAUUGAUUAUCGUCAAUCCAUAAUUCAAUAAUUAAUCCAACAUAGGAAGAAUCAGAAUGAGGUUGAUGAGCUUGAGAAGAAAGUUGCUUUGUUAGAAGAGAAAACCAGCCUCUCUGAGCAAUCGGCUGCAUUGAGUAGGAGCUGUGGAUUGGAAAGACAAGAGGAAGUGGUGAAGGGGGAAAAUAAGGAUUGUUUGAUGCAGAAUCUUGUGCUUGAAGUUGUUGGGUUGAGAAGGUUGAAUAAGGAGCUGCAUAUGUAGAAAAGGAACCUCACUUGUAGGCUCUCUUCUAUGGAGUCUCAAUUGUCUUGUUAUUCAGACUUCAGAAGCAACUUUUUGCAAUUUGACUGAUUUAAUUUUUAUGUUACGUAAUUUAUUUUCUCGUGGAUAGUUAGAUUGGAAUAGAAAUAUGGAUAGGCUCUCUUAGGAUUAACCAAUACAAUUAGGCUCUUAACUAUUUUUAUCGAUGCCUUGUUCUGGCAGCCACAACUACUGGUGAUGUUUCUAAAAAGGGUCAAUGGUUUUAGAAUGAUGUAUGCUAUCUUGUUGAGUUGGACUUAAAGUAGCGUGUGCUAACUUGCUGAGAAAAACUAGGGUUAUUAACUUAAAUUCUACUGAUAGGACAGUGAUGGUGAGCACUGCUCAUGGCUUGAAGUUUACUCUGUCCAAAAUGAAUUACCACCAUUCAAAGGUUAUCAAGUACUUGACUUGCCCAAUUUGCCUAUCCUCUACUGCAGGUCAAGCCUGAUUUUGGGUCUGUUAUUUAUGCUUUGUCCAAGUAUUUGCAGAGCAAGGGUGCCAAGUACCAUUAAGUUAGAAAUGCUGGUUUUGCUCAUGUGUCCUCGCUGCUUGUUUACUUUUUAGGCACUGUGUUGUCUUUUGUACUAGCUUCAAGUCUUCUAAUUUUCUUGAUUCUGAUGAGAUUCUGUUCAUUAUUGCUGUUUUAUUUUGUUUUGAAGUCAAUGAAAUUGGACCAGAACAUGCAAUGAGUUCUGAUGAUGUCUCGAGCAAAGAGGUAAAUGUAGAGGAAGAAGGUUUCAAUGUGCAUAUUGAUUUAGGGGAACCAAGUUUUGCAACAAAGAAAAAAGUACAAUUACUCCUGCUAUCAUGGGUAGAGAGUAGAGACAAAGAAUGGAUAAUCAACUCUAUGAGAGAAGAGACCAAGUGAUUGAAAGACUUUGUACAUGUUACUAAACAAAUAAUGGAAGAAAAUGCCCAAGUAGUGGUGCAAGAAGUGUUUAAUGAAAUGAAGAUGACUAUUGAUAUUGAUAAAGCUCUUGCAUUGAGUGAGAAGAAAGAUUUUCUUGAGUCUUUUAUAUCACGAGUAUUAUUUCACUUCAUGGAUUUAUAUAUAUAGUUUAUAUUUUGUAUGACCAUUUUUAAGGUUGAGCAGUGUAACA
This is a long non-coding RNA of Medicago truncatula (barrel medic), 2525 nucleotides long. RefSeq lists it as uncharacterized. The record is from RefSeq and is a predicted model, not a curated record. Lineage: Eukaryota; Viridiplantae; Streptophyta; Magnoliopsida; Fabales; Fabaceae. The transcript has 3 exons.